Long non-coding RNA from Oncorhynchus tshawytscha (Chinook salmon), 546 nucleotides. The record is from Ensembl. NCBI's taxonomy places the organism in Eukaryota, Metazoa, Chordata, Actinopteri, Salmoniformes, Salmonidae.
GUGAGGAGGCUGGGUACUGGGGUUAGUUGAUAUGGAAACAGGUGAGGAGGCUGGGUACUGGGGUUAGGUGGUAUGGAAACAGGUGAGGAGGCUGGGUACCCAGGUUAGGUGAUAUGGAAACAGGUGAGGGGGCUGGGUACCCAGGUUAGGUGAUAUGGAAACAGGUGAGGGGGCUGGGUAACCCAGGUUAGGUGGUAUGGAAACAGGUCAGGGGGCUGGGUACCCAGGUUAGGUGGUAUGGAAACAGGUGAGGAGGCUGGGUACCCAGGUUAGGUGGUAUGGAAACAGGUGAGGGGGCAGGGUACCCAGGUUAGGUGGUAUGGAAACAGGUGAGGAGGCUGGGUACCCAGGUUAGGUGGUAUGGAAACAGGUGAGGGGGAUGGGUACUGGGUUUAGGUGGUAUGGAAACAGGUGAGGGGGCUGGGUACUGGGGUUAGGUGGUAUGGAAACAGGUGAGGGGGAUGGGUACUGGGGUUAGGUGGUAUGGAAACAGGUGAGGAGGCUGGGUACCCAGGUUAGGUGGUAUGGAAACAGGUGAGGAGGCUG